This 71-nucleotide transfer RNA is filed under the name Stagnimonas sp. Its description in RNAcentral is "tRNA-Gly". It matches the Rfam family "tRNA". From Rfam's summary of the family: Transfer RNA (tRNA) molecules are approximately 80 nucleotides in length. Lineage: Bacteria; Pseudomonadati; Pseudomonadota; Gammaproteobacteria; Nevskiales; Nevskiaceae. The record is from RNAcentral.
GCGGGUGUAGCUCAAUGGUAGAGCGGCAACUUCCCAAGCUGUUGACGUGGGUUCGAUUCCCAUCACCCGCU